GAAGAAGGAAGAGAGAAAUGAAUGAUAUGAUAAGUGAUGUGACAGAAAUUGCAGGGAGAGAUAAGAAGAAGAUAAAGUGGAAAUGAGAUGGAAGAGAAAUAGAAGUGUGAAUGAAUUAUUACUAAAUUUAUUCAUACUUUAAACUUUUUCGAGUUCAUUUCCACUUUAAUUUCAUUUCUACCUAUCUCCUUAUUUCCUAUUAUAUCAUAUAUCACAUCUCAUACUUUAUCUCUCUCUUCUUAUUUC
Molecule: microRNA precursor, 246 nt
Filed under: Lotus japonicus
Lineage: Eukaryota; Viridiplantae; Streptophyta; Magnoliopsida; Fabales; Fabaceae
Description: miR7540a stem-loop (lja-MIR7540a)
Source: miRBase by way of RNAcentral